This is a non-coding RNA of Gasterosteus aculeatus aculeatus (three-spined stickleback), 714 nucleotides long. The record is from RefSeq and is a predicted model, not a curated record. NCBI's taxonomy places the organism in Eukaryota, Metazoa, Chordata, Actinopteri, Perciformes, Gasterosteidae.
CAAUCCCUUGUUGAGAUUGUCUUCUAAACACUUAGAGAGAAGGAGACAGAACGGAGCAGCCAGCCCAUCUCACUGUGCCUGCUGCCCCAGCCAAGGUAGAGAGACCUCUGACGGACCGCUUGCAUGCGUGUGUGUGUGUGUGUGUGUGUGUGUAUUUCACUUUGCUCUCGUGCUUGAGUAUGUGUGUUUGUGCCGUUGCCUAUCUUGUAAGCCAGCCAGCUAGUGAGCGUGUGCAUGUGUGUUGGAGCAAGAGAGAGAGAGAGAGCAAGCGAGCGAGGGAGGGAGAGCGAGAGAGAGAGAAGAUGUGUGUGUGUGUAAGGAAGAGGGGGUAUUAUGCACCCUGGAUGUUGCCUCGUGCUUUAAACAGCUGCCUACAAGCCCAGGUAGUGUGCGCCGGCUUCUAAAUAAGGAGCACAUUCACCGUCCCCUUCAGGACAAGAGGCUAGGCUGCAGAGUGUGAAAUCAGACUAAUACAGCGGUGCAGGGCUGAGCAGGAGCAGGAAGCAGCUCCUGCAUGACUUACCUAGACUAGAGGUUUAGAGGACGAGAACCAGGAGACGAAAAAGGGGGGAUUGGACGUGGGAGAGAAAGGGGAGGAAAACAGGCAGUAAGGAAUGUGAGGGACCCUUUCCUCUGCUUCACAAGGUUGCAUUCUGUUGUGUACCCCGAAGACAUUUGAUCAGCCUUUGCUGCCCAUCAGACCUCCUGUUGCCA